Oryctolagus cuniculus (rabbit) is the source of this 171-nucleotide small nuclear RNA. Its record names the gene U2. It matches the Rfam family "U2 spliceosomal RNA". From Rfam's summary of the family: U2 is a small nuclear RNA (snRNA) component of the spliceosome (involved in pre-mRNA splicing). Complementary binding between U2 snRNA (in an area lying towards the 5' end but 3' to hairpin I) and the branchpoint sequence (BPS) of the intron results the bulging out of an unpaired adenosine, on the BPS, which initiates a nucleophilic attack at the intronic 5' splice site, thus starting the first of two transesterification reactions that mediate splicing. Lineage: Eukaryota; Metazoa; Chordata; Mammalia; Lagomorpha; Leporidae. The record is from Ensembl.
UUGGCUUCUUGGCCUUUGGGCUAAGAUCAAGUGUAGUAUCUGUUCUUAUCAGUUUAAAAUAGUGUUGGGAUACAGAAGAUGAUACCAAUCCCUACAUUUUAUCAAUUUAUUCAACCUUCCUAUGUAUCUUUAUAUGUAGGAAAUGACAGCAAAGCGGAGGAGGAAACUCUU